AUUGAACGCUGGCGGCAUGCCUUACACAUGCAAGUCGAACGGCAGCACGGGGCAACCUGGUGGCGAGUGGCGAACGGGUGAGUAAUGCAUCGGAACGUGCCAUUGAGUGGGGGAUAACGUAGCGAAAGUUGCGCUAAUACCGCAUAUUCUGUGAGCAGGAAAGCAGGGGACCGCAAGGCCUUGCGCUCUUUGAGCGGCCGAUGUCAGAUUAGCUAGUUGGUGAGGUAACGGCUUACCAAGGCGACGAUCUGUAGCGGGUCUGAGCGGAUGAUCCGCCACACUGGAACUGAGACACGGUCCAGACUCCUACGGGAGGCAGCAGUGGGGAAUUUUGGACAAUGGGCGCAAGCCUGAUCCAGCCAUGCCGCGUGAGUGAAGAAGGCCU
RNAcentral lists this ribosomal RNA (385 nucleotides) under uncultured bacterium. RNAcentral describes it as "bacterial SSU rRNA". It matches the Rfam family "Bacterial small subunit ribosomal RNA", at positions 30 to 417 of the family's 1533-position model. The record is from RNAcentral.